This 506-nucleotide ribosomal RNA is filed under the name uncultured bacterium. Its description in RNAcentral is "partial 16S ribosomal RNA". It matches the Rfam family "Bacterial small subunit ribosomal RNA", at positions 28 to 523 of the family's 1533-position model. The record is from RNAcentral.
GAUGAACGCUAGCUACAGGCUUAACACAUGCAAGUCGAGGGGUAACGAGAGGAAAGCUUGCUUUCCUUGUCGACGACCGGCGCACGGGUGAGUAACGCGUAUCCAACCUGCCCCCAACUAAGGAAUAACCUUGCGAAAGUAAGACUAAUACCUUAUAAUUUCCUCAGAUGUCAUCUGACGAGGAAUAAAGAUUUAUCGGUUGUGGAUGGGGAUGCGUCUGAUUAGCUUGUUGGCGGGGUAACGGCCCACCAAGGCAACGAUCAGUAGGGGUUCUGAGAGGAAGGUCCCUCACAUUGGAACUGAGACACGGUCCAAACUCCUACGGGAGGCAGCAGUGAGGAGUAUUGGUCAAUGGGCGAAAGCCUGAACCAGCCAAGUAGCGUGCAGGAUGACGGCCCUAUGGGUUGUAAACUGCUUUUAUACAGGAAUAAAGUUAGCCACGUGUGGUUAUUUGUAGGUACUGUAUGAAUAAGGACCGGCUAAUUCCGUGCCAGCAGCCGCGGUAA